Long non-coding RNA from Oreochromis niloticus (Nile tilapia), 835 nucleotides. RefSeq lists it as uncharacterized. Lineage: Eukaryota; Metazoa; Chordata; Actinopteri; Cichliformes; Cichlidae. The transcript has 3 exons. The record is from RefSeq and is a predicted model, not a curated record.
GGAAAUCAGGAAGAGGGCAAACACUUUUUUCACAUCACUGUACUCUAUCCAAUAUAUUUUACUAAAUCAUAGAUUUUUAAAGUCAGAAAUUCCUUAGUGGCUCCUGCGUGUUGCUCUCACCAUUUUCCAAGUAGACGAGACUAGACAUGGACAUGAGAAGCCAAGCAGGAAAGACAAGGGAGAGGGAGAAAAGUGCGACCGCCUUGGUCAAGAGCCAAACGAGGGUAUCAUCUAUAUUGAUGGCUUGGUGAUACAUUUCUUAUCUGUUCACAUUCCUGCAGAAACACAAAAGUCCACACACAGAAUUCAGACAUUAGAAGAUUCAUUUUCACUACUCAAGCUCAUUUAUCAUUUAACAUAUUAAUCAGACUUGUAGUUUGAUUUAUGUGUUAUGGUCCGUGGCUCUGUGUCUGGGCAGUGUGUGGGAUGCCCUGGUGGCCACACCCCCAGGCUGGGCCAUCACCAUCACACCUGCGUCCCAUUCCAGGUGAUUACCAGGAGGACUAUUUAACCCUGCGCUGACGGAUGCUCCACGCCAGUCCGUUAGUCACCCAUCAGUGGUUACUAUCUGGCGUUUUGUGCCUGCCACCGGCCUAUCCUCAUGCCUGCUCGGAUCUCUGAGUGCACCAUCUAUCCUCGUCCCUGCCUCCUCGUAUUUGCCUCCCACGGACAUGCUUCCCCCCCUCCGAGUCCCACGGUCCGGCUCUCAUCCCUCCCAUGGUCCCGAAUACAGCUUCGCUGUGUAUUUUGUCUUCCAGGUUUCCUUCAGUUGCGUGAUUUUGCUUCCUUGGUUGUUCUGGGUCACCUUUUGUUAAAUCAAUAAAAUCUGUACUUG